This is a long non-coding RNA of Homo sapiens (human), 1512 nucleotides long. RefSeq lists it as uncharacterized. The record is from RefSeq and is a predicted model, not a curated record. The transcript is spliced from 2 exons. Lineage: Eukaryota; Metazoa; Chordata; Mammalia; Primates; Hominidae.
AAGUGCUCUGCCUGCCUCAGCUUCCCAAAGUGCUGGCAUGAGCCACCGAGCCUGGCCUGAAUUUUUUAAAUGCACUUUUUUCUCAUUCACAGCAGCCAUUAAAUUCAAAAUACUUUUAUAGAUCAAUUCCAUAUAGUAAUUUUAAGGUGUACUUUGCCUUUCCUGGGUGAGAGUUACAUCUCUAUAUAAAUGAAACAGUAAGUCAUGGGCUUUCUCGUGUGAACACUAAGUGACUUGGCAAUGUACCGUGUUGUUGUGAGUACAUUGAUAAUACCGAGAUAAAUUCUGUUUUUCAGUCUUCAUGUCAUCACUGAUGAGGGAGAACCCUCAGCUUGACAGUCUAAGUGCACAGGCUGGGUUGUCCCCUCGUGGCCCUUAUGAUGCAGGAGAGAGAGGAAAAUUCUUCGAGAGAGACACUGGAGAAAGCAAGAGAGGAUGAGCAGAUAUUUGGGCAGAUUAUCUUGUGGGAAGAACAAUCAAAUGCAAAGGUAAUGGAGGAAGGAGUAUACUUGAUAUGAUAUAUUACACACUAAUAUAAUAUUUUUGCCAUUAAAAGUGAUGGCAAGAAGAGCAAUUACUUUUGCACCAACCUAAUAUAACACACUAGUGGCAAAUACACUAGCAAGAAGGCUAGUGUGACAGAAGCAGAGUGAUCACACAGAGUGGCAGGACAUGAGAUCAGAGAAAGAUCAAAAGGCCAGUUAACAUAGGGCCCUAUAGGGCAUUGCAUGGAUAUUGGCUAUGGCCCUGAGUAAGAUUUGAGGAUUUUGGAAAAGGAGUCACAUGAUUUCACAUUUUAUAAGAAUUACUCUGGGUACCAUGUUAAACUGGACCACAGAAAAACAAGAGAAAGCAGGGAGACUUGUUAGUACAUUUGCAAUAAAACAGGUGGAAAAUAGUUAUACCUUGGAUAAGGAUGUAGUAAUGAAGUUAUUGGGAAGAAUUUGAAUUCCGUGUAUAUUUUGAAAGUAGAACCACUAGGAUUUUCUCAUAGACUAGAUGUGGAAUAUGAUGGGAAGCAAUAAUAAGGUAUGUGAGAAAAGUCUGCAGGAGGGGGAGUUUAAGGGAGAACAAUUGGAAGCUUGAUUUUGUACUUGUGACACUUGCGGUGCCUAUUAGACAGCUUACAAGUUUAUAGCUGAUUAUAUAAAGUACUUACUCUGUUCCAGGCAGUUUUAAGUGCCUAAUCAACAUUAAUUCAUUUAAUCUUCACUACAACCCAGUAAAUGAGGUAUUUGGAAUUUAUGUGUCCUCAGUUCUUAAUAGGAUUUAAAACCACGAGACUGAAUGAGAUCACCAAGAAAGUAAGUGUAGAUGGAGAAAAGAAGACCAAGGACUGAGGUAGAAGCACUCUGAUACUUAGCAUUUAGGGACAUCACGGGACACCAACAAAGGAAAUUGAGAAAGAGUGGCCCAUAAUGGAGGAGGUAAAUGAGUGUCCCAGGAAUCAAGUGAAGUUAAGUGGAUCAGGAAAGAUGAAGCAUCAUGGUGUCAAAGCUACUGACAUUUCAA